RNAcentral lists this ribosomal RNA (440 nucleotides) under uncultured bacterium. Its description in RNAcentral is "partial 16S ribosomal RNA". It matches the Rfam family "Bacterial small subunit ribosomal RNA", at positions 338 to 795 of the family's 1533-position model. The record is from RNAcentral.
CCUACGGGGGGCUGCAGUAGGGAAUAUUGCUCAAUGGGGGAAACCCUGAAGCAGCAACGCCGCGUGGAGGAUGAAGGUUCUAGGAUUGUAAACUCCUUUUGUUAGAGAAGAUAAUGACGGUAUCUAACGAAUAAGCACCGGCUAACUCCGUGGCAGCAGCCGCGGUGAUACGGAGGGUGCCAGCGUUACUCGGAAUCACUGGGCGUAAAGAGCGCGUAGGGGGGAUAGCAAGUCAGAUGUGAAGUUCUAUGGGUUAACCAUAGAACUGCAGUUGAAACUGUUAUUCUAGAGUAUGGGAGAGGUAUGUGGAAUUCGUGGUGUAGGGGGGAAAUCCGUAGAGAUCAAGAGGAAUACUCAUUGCGAAGGCGGCCUGCUGGAACAUAACUGACGCUGAGGCGCGAAAGCGUGGGGAGCAAACAGGAUUAGAUACCCUAGUAGUC